GGUCUGUGAUGUACUGUAAAAGGUCUGAUGCCUGAGUUUCCCCCCAGAUUCCUCCCAACUCCCAGGAGUCCCUGCUCUGUUCCCCAGCAUGCUCUAGGUGUGUGAUGUUGGGUUCAGGGGCUUCUGACAGAUGGGAUGACCUCAUCUUGUGUCUCCUUGAGAAUAUGGGGUCACAAUGAUGAUGGACGUCCAACAUAGCCAAUUGCCAAGGAGUAUUUGGGUCUGGGGCUGGAACAGGCGAAUGAUCUCAAGUUUUCAAGCUGAGACC
Non-coding RNA from Anguilla anguilla (European eel), 268 nucleotides. RefSeq annotates it as small Cajal body-specific RNA 6. The transcript has a single exon. Lineage: Eukaryota; Metazoa; Chordata; Actinopteri; Anguilliformes; Anguillidae. The record is from RefSeq and is a predicted model, not a curated record.